This is a long non-coding RNA of Hirundo rustica (Barn swallow), 1862 nucleotides long. RefSeq lists it as uncharacterized. The transcript is spliced from 3 exons. NCBI's taxonomy places the organism in Eukaryota, Metazoa, Chordata, Aves, Passeriformes, Hirundinidae. The record is from RefSeq and is a predicted model, not a curated record.
CUGUGCACCAAACCUGUGGUGGUCACUGCACCCCUCCAGGCUCCCUCUACGUGACAUCCAGAAGCUGCACACAGUUCAGUUUUACCUCCUUUUACAGCAUGACUUCAUAUGAUGUUACAACAACUGCGCAAGUGACAAAAUCUGGAAAAAUUAAAACAAGAACCUGGUCUUCAUUUGCAUGAUAUUCUGUUCCUUUCUCAGGAUGUGUUAUUUUGCAUCCAGACUGGCGUCUUCAUGAGGAAUAGCUUAAGUGACUUCAGAUAUGGUCUUGCUGAUAUGAUGAAGACUUUGAAGACUUUCUACUGUCAACCAAAAGAAGUCUGGACUGCAAAAGUAAGGCCAGACAUCUAAAAGGAACAUCUGGUUGACCAUAUUUUCACCAAAAAAGUGUUCUUUGACAAUAUUGAAGUUAUUUUUUAAUGUGAAGAAUGGAAACCAUAUGAUAUGAUUUUCCUAAGUCACAGAACACAACAAGUCAGUGAUAGGUAACGACUGUAUUCAAAUGUGUAUUUUGUGCUUCCAGCUAUGUGGACCAAACCAUGUGACCCAGUAACAUUAACAUAGGGUAUCUUCACUUUAUGCUAUAGUACUAUUUAGGAUUCAUGUCUAUCUUCUCAGCUUCAAAGAUGUGUGAUUACUGAACAGAUAAAAGCUACUGCUGGUAGCACUUUAGGAAUUGCAUAGAAGAUGCAGGAGUCAUUCUGUCUUAGCCUAAAUUUAGGAAGUCUAAAUAGUGCAGAAUGUUUAGAUUUUAUAUGGGCAAACCAUAUAAAGAAAAGUGUAUUUCUGCUUUUAAUGGAAGAGAGCGAGUGACACUUUGAUAGCUGAAUCAACACUUUCGUUGCUCCCUUUCCUCUUUCAAGUGUAGCAUGAGAUUUUUUCACACUAGGCUGGGAAGACGCCCAGAUGCAGGAGAAAUGCAGCCUCAAAGAUUUUCCUUUCUUGGUUCUGUUUUUGUCAAUGCCAGGCCACAGCCUUCAGUGGAUGGAAGAACAGUGGAUCCUGUGCACUCUUCCAGCACCUGUUGAGGCUUAGGUUUCUUUCCUUUUACUUAGGGAAUUUUUUUUCCCCCAUAAGUUGCUAGGAAAAACUAAUGACUGGGUACUUAAGAAAACUAAAGUAGCCAAGUUCAGGGGAGGAGGGCAUCUGGCUGCAAUUAUCUGCGUGUUUUUCUCUGGGGGGCAGAUACACCUUGAGAAUUGGACAGGUAAAAGACAGGGCUGGGGCAGCUGCUAGCGCUCUAUUUUCUCGGCUUAGGAGGAGAAUGGUCAGAGCUGCUGCUUGGGGCAGGGGAUUCACUGCUGCCGCCAGAGCCCAGCCCAGAGCUGCUGCUUCUGCUGUGGGGUGAGCCUCUGCUCAUGAGAGCAACCACGGGACUGGGAGCUUAUUAACACCCACCUCCCUAAAAGAGGGACCUAUCACCAUGUGCUCGGGUGCCCAGGAUCCUGAGCUCGCCUCUCCCUGCUCUGCUGGGAGCCAGGCUGCUGCUGUCCCACUGCCGCCACUUCUUUGGCACUGCUCCGAGCUUUCACUGCACUGCAGCCCUGCACGCCCCGCCUGCUGACACAUUCUGCUGUUCCAGCUUGGUGCUCCUUGGAGUCCUGCUGGGACACUGAGAUCCGCUGCCCCAGGGUUUGUGGCGCAGAGCCUCUCCUCCAUCCCUUCCCGUCUCGCUCAAGCCACCAUUACUGCGUGCUGCCCGUGUCACAGCGCCCCCUGCAGCCUUGGGGGAAUCAUUGCACCUGUCCUGCCUGCCAGGAGCCAGCAGCGCCCCUGCAGGCUGUGACCAGAACUGCACCGAUGGGGAAACGGCCUGUGGCCGACAAGGGGUCACUGGGUUCCUGCUGCUGUUUGUUGCUAAU